AUGCAGUUAUUCCCAUUUGAGCAGCUCUUCAGGGAAACCCUUCUCCAGGUGGUGACUCAAGGUUUCUGGAUCCUUCCGUCUUUUAGCCCUAUCAGUCUCUGAGGGCGUAGAGUCCUUCACUUCCAGCUGCACAGAGGGAAGAGAAAGUUUAAGAAUGGAAGACCAUGAAGGAUGCUUUAUGGACAAGCCUAGAAAUGGUUCCAGUGUCCCUUGGAUGCUAUACCUUGCCAGGAGGGCUGGACCUUAGAAGUCACCUUCCAUAGCCUCUCCAUGAUCCUGGCUCCUGGUUAUCCCUGCCAGCUCCAUAUUGCUGGAAGCAGUUCACCAUGCCUAGCGCCCAUAUACCAGUCAUGACAAAGGAGUAAAAAAAUCUCAAGUUUAUUUUGACCUGCAACUCUUUGAGGAACUACAAGGAUGGUCAUUUCAUGGGUUCUCCUAUUGUAUGUAAAAGAAAAUUCCAAUUUUGGCUUAAGG
Long non-coding RNA from Orcinus orca (killer whale), 474 nucleotides. RefSeq lists it as uncharacterized. The record is from RefSeq and is a predicted model, not a curated record. The transcript is spliced from 3 exons. NCBI's taxonomy places the organism in Eukaryota, Metazoa, Chordata, Mammalia, Artiodactyla, Delphinidae.